UCGGUUGAUCCUGCCGGAGGUCACUGCUAUCAGUGUUCGACUAAGCCAUGCAAGUCAAAUGUUCUUCGUGAACAUGGCGGACUGCUCAGUAACACGUGGAUAACCUGCCCUUAGGAUUGGCAUAACACCGGGAAACUGGUGAUAAUACCGAAUAGACCAUUUAUGCUGGAAUGCUUUUUGGUCAAAAGGCUUCGGCUGCCUAAGGAUGGAUCUGCGGCCUAUCAGGUAGUAGUGGGUGUAAUGUACCUACUAGCCUACGACGGGUACGGGUUGUGAGAGCAAGAGCCCGGAGAUGGAUUCUGAGACAUGAAUCCAGGCCCUACGGGGCGCAGCAGGCGCGAAAACUUUACAAUGCGGGAAACCGCGAUAAGGGGACACUGAGUGCCAGCAUAUUAUGUUGGCUGUCCACAUGUAUAAAAACCAUGUGUUAGCAAGGGCCGGGCAAGACCGGUGCCAGCCGCCGCGGUAACACCGGCGGCCCGAGUGGUGAUCACUUUUAUUGGGUCUAAAGGGUCCGUAGCCGGUUUAAUCAGUCUUCUGGGAAAUCUGACAGCUCAACUGUUAGGCUUUCAGGGGAUACUGUUAAACUUGGGACCGGGAGAGGUAAGAGGUACUACAGGGGUAGGAGUGAAAUCUUGUAAUCCCUGUGGGANCACCAGUGGCGAAGGCGUCUUACCAGAACGGGUCCNACGGUGAGGGACGAAAGCUGGGGGCACGAACCGGAUUAGAUACCCGGGUAGUCCCAGCCGUAAACGAUGUUCGCUAGGUGUCAGG
RNAcentral lists this ribosomal RNA (774 nucleotides) under uncultured archaeon. RNAcentral describes it as "bacterial SSU rRNA". It matches the Rfam family "Archaeal small subunit ribosomal RNA", at positions 4 to 778 of the family's 1478-position model. The record is from RNAcentral.